Molecule: unclassified non-coding RNA, 240 nt
Filed under: soil metagenome
Description: partial contains 5.8S ribosomal RNA, internal transcribed spacer 2, and large subunit ribosomal RNA
Source: RNAcentral
AAGACUAUAGACCUGCGGAGUACCUGCGGAAGGAUCAUUACCGAGUUUACAACUCCCAAACCCAAUGUGAACGUUACCAAACUGUUGCCUCGGCGGGAUCUCUGCCCCGGGUGCGUCGCAGCCCCGGACCAAGGCGCCCGCCGGAGGACCAACCAAAAACUCUUUUGUAUACCCCCUCGCGGGUUUUUUAUAUCUGAGCCAUCUCGGCGCCUCUCGUAGGCGUUUCGAAAAUGAAUCAAA